CAAUAGCGUAUAUUUAAGUUGCUGCAGUUAAAAAGCUCGUAGUUGGAUUUCGGGUGGGAAUGGCGGGUCCGCCGUUUCGGUGUGCACUUGCUACGCCCACCUUGCUGCCGGGGACGUGCUCUUGAGUUCACGCUCGGGACACGGAGUCGGCGAGGUUACUUUGAGUAAAUUAGAGUGUUCAAAGCAGGCCUACGCUCUGAAUACAUUAGCAUGGAAUAACACGAUAGGACUCUGGCCUAUCUUGUUGGUCUGUAGGACCGGAGUAAUGAUUAAGAGGGACAGUCGGGGGCAUUCGUAUUUCAUUGUCAGAGGUGAAAUUCUUGGAUUUAUGAAAGACGAACUACUGCGAAAGCAUUUGCCAAGGAUGUUUUCAUUAA
Molecule: ribosomal RNA, 377 nt
Filed under: uncultured eukaryote
Lineage: Eukaryota
Description: partial 18S ribosomal RNA
Rfam family: Eukaryotic small subunit ribosomal RNA
Source: RNAcentral